UCCUCCAAGCGAACAGUCGCGAAGUCCUCCCAGCAGCCUGCGCUCUCUGUCAGGCUGCUCAUCUCUUGCUAUCGCUGCAGACAAAUGGGCCAAACACCCUCCUUAAGCUUUCUCUUUCGGCUUCCAGCUUCAAAGACCGCUGAACUCUCAUCUGUUUUUUCCCACAGCAGUUAUUUCCCUCUUGGUUGGAUUCUCAUCUGCAGUCUCUUAAUUAACGAUUGGUUUCUGGUUUCGGUACUCAUUUAUCCCUUUCUCUUUCCCAUCUUGUUUGUCCUUCAACAUGCUCCAUGUCCCACCCUCUCUCUCUCUCUCUUUCCACUAUUUCCUUUUUCUCCUGAAUUUCUACUUCUUGUCCCUGCCGCACCUCUUGCAUCUCAGAUGGUCUUUCCCAGAUAUGACCAUGGCUUUCUCUCUGGAGAGCAGUCCGGUAGUUUUCAGAGACGCUUUCUGAAGGGUGACCAAGGCCAGGCUGGACCCGCUGGUCCUCCUGGUCCUCCAGGUCCCCCAGGUCCCAGAGGCCCCCCUGGGAACACAGGCAAGGACGGGCCACGUGGGCCUGCUGGCGAGUCGGGGUUUCCAGGUCGUGAUGGCGUUGAGGGGCUAAAAGGAUUGCCUGGAAAGCCGGGAGUAGAUGGGGAGUCCGGCUAUCCGGGACCACACGGUCCUCCAGGACCGAAGGGCGAGUCCGGUAUCGGAGGAAAAGGAGAGAGGGGCAUGGAUGGACUCCCAGGAUUGAAGGGAGACAAAGGGGAAAUAGGAGAGCAAGGACAACAGGGAGCCAUGGGUUUUCCUGGUGAAAAGGGCGCAACGGGCUCCUCAGACAUCAUUGACUUCAAUGGGAAGCUUCUAGAUGCUUUCCAGGCCAUCGACACCAUCAGUGUUUCGGGUCCAUCUGGACCACCUGGACCCCCCGGCCCUUCAGGGGAAAAGGGUGAGCUUGGUUUACCUGGCCCAGCAGCAACCGAUGGGGAGAAGGGGCCUAACGGGGACACGGGUGAGACGGGACCCCCUGGUGAGAGAGGAGGGAGGGGAGAGAUGGGGCUCUCUGGGCCUGCUGGUAUGGACGGAUACAAAGGAGAGAAAGGUGACUGCAGAAUGGAAGACAACCUGGUUCAGAUGAUUUCGCAGCCAGGCCCAGCUGGCCCACCAGGGGUUCCCGGGUCGCCUGGAUCUAUGGGGCUGCAUGGUAUGCCUGGUCCUAAGGGUGAGCCUGGAUUUGGGAUGAAGGGAGAUAAAGGGGACUCUGGUGCUCCUGGAGCCAGAGGAUUAGACGGUCUCCAGGGCACAAGUGGGCCUGCAGGGUUAGUGGGUCUUCCAGGUGCGAAGGGAGACAAAGGCAGACCAGGGGACCAUGGACUAGACGGUUUCCCAGGUCUGACCGGAGGGAAAGGUGAACGAGGGGAAAGGGGAGACAAGGGUGACCGGGGAUCAGUGGGAAAGAGGGGUCUAAAGGGCCAGAAGGGAGAGCAGGGUCCUCCAGGCCUGGACCAGCCCUGUCCUGUGGGUUGCAAUGAGAGUAACGGUGUGUCUCAGGAGGCAAGGCUUUCUUCUCCUCCAUCUCCUCUUCUUACUCCUUCCGGCACUGAGCCCCCCUGUCCUGUGGUAGAGUAUCUCUGUCUCCUUCCUCCUCAGUCCUCCUCCUCUUGCAUCACUAUUUAUGCAUCUACUGUUGCUAUUUUCUAUUCAAUGUCUCAAACUCUGUUUUACAUGUUCGGUUAGUCACCAACUGAUAGUACAUGAAUGUCUAGUUCAGAAUUCACUAUGAAGAGAGAAAUGCACAGAUAAUAAACAGUAAUAUCAAAAGGUUUCAAUACUAACUGGCAACAGGAAAAUACUGUCUAAUUCUGAUAUGUCUCUAUAUUACAUCUUGCUUUUCAUGUGUGAAAUAAAUGGAUGGAAGAUUCAAUUCAAUUCAGUUUAUUUUGUAUUGCUCAAUAUCACAAAUUACAAAUUUGCCUCAGAGGGCUUUACAAUCUGUACACAUACGACAUCCCUGUCCCAGGAGCUCACAUCGGAUCAGGAACAACUCCCAAGAUACCUGGUUACAAACAUAAAACAUUAUUCUAACGGCCAAAUAAAAGAGGUCUACAGUACACUCACAAAAAGAAACAUACAGAAAAGAAUGCAUUGAAAUCAACUAAUGGCCACCAUAAAUCAUGUUCUGUUUUUUUUGUAUUUGCUUAUAAGUUGUAUGAUGUACAAUUUAGAUGAGCGCAUUAAUACCACUCACAUACAGUAUCUGUUAGAUAUAAGGCUGCAGCUAGUUAGCUUAGCUUAGCAUAAAGAGUGGCAGCAGGGGGAAACUGUUUGCCUGGCUCUGCCCAAAGUAAAAAAAUGUGCCUAGCAGGACCUCUACUCUUUAGUUCAUACAUAAUAUCAAGUUAUUGCCCUCUUGGAAAAGGGGGAGUGAGUGGAGGGGUAUCAGUUGGUUGCAAUCUGCACCUACACAGCUAUAUGUCACAAAACCCUACACACUUUUCCUUUAAAAGCCAGGCUAGCUAUUCCGUCUAGGUAACCUACCAAUCUUUAUGCUACGCUAAAUUAACAGUUACCAAUAGUAGCCCUUUAUUCAAAAUGUAUACAUAUAAAGAUAUGAGUGGUUUCAAACUUAAUCUAAAUCUCAACUAUUUCACGCUCAGCCUCCACCUUUGCUUUGUUGUAGCCUACAACAUAAGUUUGCUGAUAGAGAGUGCACACCUUGGACAUGUGUCACAUGACUAAGGUGUGUUUAAGCAUUCAUCACAGGACAUGUUCCGGCUUGUAAACAUUCCACUGCUGUUCCUUCUCUACAGGGACAGGAUGGGCUGCCCAUACCAGGCUGCUGGCACAAGUGAUGACUAACCAGCAGCAUGGAAUCUGUACAUAUUGAUAUGGUAUAUAUUGCAGUUGAAUACUACACCAACAACCCUCUCCCUUUUAUUUCUUUUUUUCGUAAAACAUUUGAUAUAAUAUAUUGAGAUUUUUUUAACAAGGACAUUUUUGAGUCUACAGUGUUCCAAUAAUUUUUUUAAACUUUAGAGAGCCAGUGUUGUUGGGAAUGCAGCUAUGGUUUUGAGAAGAUGAAACUGAACUGGCAGUUGGACUCUUACUUUGAAGGACAGUCCAGAUGACAGUGUUGGGGUGCCUUGAUAGUCUAGCGGUCUCACUAACAAAGCCUGACUUGCUGCCUGAUGGUAAUCAUGAACGCUGUAUGGAUAUAAUGGUGUGUACACUCACUCACUCUCACGGAUGCUUGGAUGGAUGGACAGAUCUCUUUGGGAGUGGCAGAUGGAGGAAUGUGGGUCAGUACUCUCUUCUUCUCUCUCUGUUUUCUAAAAGGAGGAAAUGGCGAGACAGAAGCUCAAACGCAAGUGUCUCUCUCAGCCCUGAAUGGGUGUGUGGCCUGGUGGAGAAAGGACACAUAAACAGGCAGAGAGCACAAGGGGCAGAUUGGCCUUUGAUGAAGCCGAGUGAACCAUGCCUCAGUGACAUAAUGAACCCUCUGAUCCUCCGUCAUGGAAACUCUCCGAGAGGGGGGCGACAGAGAGCCCUGCAUUUCCACACUCACCUGAGAAGUAAAGACACACCUGCGGCUGAUGAUGUUGCACAAAAGCUUCACAACCAGUCAAAGUUAUUUGGGAGUCACUGACGUCACUGGCACAUAAGGAAGGAUAUACUACAGAUACUUUGAACACGUUGUGGGGAUCUCUUGUAUGGCUCUUUUGUAAAGGCGUUCACGAGUUAAAUGCAUGAUCAUAACAAACAGUGGUGUUUAGCGUGCUGACAGCUGUAUGACUACCUGACUGAAAGAUCAAAUUAAAUUAGAUUCCUUUGCAUUAACAUGAAGCCGUUUUAAUAGUCUUUCCAUUUGAACAAGCCACUCAGAAAAGUCAGUAAGUCUACCUUUUUAAGACUUGCACUUGUGUCAGUGGUGACAUGUUUUCUUGUGUUAUAUUAUUACAGUUUUUGUCCAGUUACAGUUUGCAUUCCUGUGCAUUGCCAUGUUUGUGGAAUAUAUAGAUAGUAAAACUUCAAGGCCAGAUUUGAAGCAACUAUUUACAGUAUUAGUAAUAAACCAGUGUUUUUCUUGCCUUGACAAAUUAUUGCCAGUCAAAUAUUAUUUUGCUAUAAUGUUGCUGCAUUUUAAAUGAUCAUUAUCCUUUAAUCACUGAUGAAGAUAUGUUUGAUUUACUGUUGCCAAUUUGCUCUGGACAGUGUACGUUCUUGCUGCUGACUUAAAUGUGUUUGUUUGAUAUUUUUGAAUCAAUAUAAUUAUUUGAAUUGAAGGACUAACAGACUAAAAUAUGAAAAUUGAAUCAAAUGUAUACAAAACCAUUGUUUUUGGGGAAUCUUUUUUUUCCAGCAGUACACCUCUGGACAAUGGUUUAUCAGUUAUUUUUGCAUUUGAGUGUGCUUUUUUUCAAUUAUCCCAAAAACGUUUUAAGUCUUUACUAUCAAAUGACUUUUACAGGUGUGUUUUGGUCUUUCGAAAACAUUUCUCAAAUGGAAUAAUUCCAUGGUGCUUAUAUACUUUAAUGCACACAUUUUAAAGCUAUACUCUGCAUAUCCAUAUGCAAAAAAAACAUGUCCACCAUAACACAUGUAUCAUUGUUUAAAGGAAUGUUGAACAUAAAUAAAACGUGGGUUUUACUGAUGUACUAAUAUCACAUAUUUGGCUACAUGUAUACAGGGCAGAGAUUCAUGGAAUCAUUAUGUGGUCCUCUUUACAUGGACAGAAAUACAUACACCUGAAUGUAAAUAGCAUUAAGCAAUACAUCGCUGGACAUGACUGACAAUCAAUCAUUUACAACAUAAUGUUUUAUUUGUUGAUCUAUAUUCAACAUGUACAUACAGGCUGCUAAACAUUGCUAAUUCCAAUUCUAGUAGGAGUUUCCACAAUAUCUUCAAAUUAAUCGGAGGAAUAAAAAUUGACAUUUAUAUGGAUAUUUGUUAUUUCAAUUAGGGACUCGUACCAGAAGGAUAGCAGUGUUGGUUCAUAGUUUUUACUGAAUCCAGAAAACACACAGGACAUUAGUAAUGCUGACUAAUGCUGUCAAUUUGUAAUCAAACAUAUCCACUGGCUCACAUUACGUCCCAAUGAUAGAGACCAGAAUUACUGACAUCACUUCAUUUAUUUCCAUAUCAUUGGGAUAAAUAUGAUGAACAGUCCCACUGAAUGUUUUCACUUUAGUAAAAGAGGUUCGUAGGGUACAUAACAUAUUACACCCCUGUACUGCACCGCUCAUUUAAACAGCAAAUUGUAUUCUAGAGACCUUUUCUUUUAAAAACCAAACAUGUAAAGGAGUUACAUUUCAUUGAGAUGAAAUAGAAUAGCUGGCAUACAAACUAUAUUUGAAAAUAAUAAAAAUGUUUGUUGACUGAGAAGUAACUGAAAGCAUAAUUUCACUGGAAGCUGAUGGUUAUCUGCCACUUAACGCUAUCAUAUGUGUUUAUUUCUUUUGCAGAUUCUAUCAAUUUUAGUUGUACGGCGUGAUGGAGUCAGUAAAUGGCAAUGUGAAUACAGUUGUGUGUUUUAGUCAUACUCAGUAUCACAGUACUAGAUUGAUUUUGUGAGAAUGACUUUUGGUUGUGUACUUGGUUGUAAAGGAAUGAAGCUAUUUUUGUAAUUACUUGUCUAAAAAUGUAAAACAUGAAAUGUGAUCAACUAAACAUGUAAACUGAAGUAAACUGUACAGUUGUAUGUUGUUUUUGUCCAUUAAAGCAUCAUAUAACAAUA
RNA transcript from Pseudoliparis swirei, 5716 nucleotides. It is a transcript of the gene named collagen type XXIII alpha 1 chain a, with no coding region annotated. The record is from RefSeq and is a predicted model, not a curated record. The transcript is spliced from 22 exons. Lineage: Eukaryota; Metazoa; Chordata; Actinopteri; Perciformes; Liparidae.